This 497-nucleotide ribosomal RNA is filed under the name uncultured bacterium. RNAcentral's name for it is "partial 16S ribosomal RNA". It matches the Rfam family "Bacterial small subunit ribosomal RNA", at positions 28 to 507 of the family's 1533-position model. The record is from RNAcentral.
GAUGAACGCUGGCGGCGUGCCUAAUACAUGCAAGUCGAGCGAACAGACGAGGAGCUUGCUCCUCUGACGUUAGCGGCGGACGUGUGAGUAACACGUGGAUAACCUACCUAUAAGACUGUGAUAACUUCGGGAAACCGGAGCUAAUACCGGAUAAUAUAUUGAACCGCAUGGUUCAAUAGUGAAAGACGGUUUUGCUGUUACUUAUAGAUGGAUCCGCGCCGCAUUAGCUAGUUGGUAAGGUAACGGCUUACCAAGGCAACGAUGCGUAGCCGACCUGAGAGGGUGAUCGGCCACACUGGAACUGAGACACGGUCCAGACUCCUACGGGAGGCAGCAGUAGGGAAUCUUCCGCAAUGGGCGAAAGCCUGACGGAGCAACGCCGCGUGAGUGAUGAAGGUCUUCGGAUCGUAAAACUCUGAUAUAAGGGAAGAAAAAAUGUGUAAGUAACUAUGCACGUCUUGACGGUACCUAAUCAGAAAGCCACGGCUAACUACGUG